Long non-coding RNA from Poeciliopsis prolifica (blackstripe livebearer), 2225 nucleotides. RefSeq lists it as uncharacterized. The record is from RefSeq and is a predicted model, not a curated record. The transcript is spliced from 2 exons. Lineage: Eukaryota; Metazoa; Chordata; Actinopteri; Cyprinodontiformes; Poeciliidae.
UACAAUACAGAACCAGUUGGACUGACAGGAAACUGCAGAGAGAGAGGAGGAGAGGACCAGGCUGCAGCGACGCCAGCAGCAGGAGGAGGAGGGAGAAGAAACCACUCCCACCAAGCCAGGAGACUGGGUGUUUAUCAAAGUCAUAAAGAGGAAGAGCUGGGCCAGCCCGCGGUGGGAGGGACCAUUCCAAGUGCUGAUAACAACUCCAACUGCUGUAAAGAUUGCUGAACGACCCAACUGGAUUCAUCUCAGUCACUGUAAGUUGCAGAGAGUGUUGGAAGCCUAGGUGGGAGCAGGUGGGAGUCCACCUUCACAGGGGUUAGGCUUUUUAGGGUCACUCGUCUCAACGGUGGUGAAGAAAUCAUCAACCCCCUGUUCUAUAGAGUCCUAGGUACAUUCUAACAUCUCUGUAAUCUGAGCAGCAAUGGGAUUCUCAUACGCCAGGUGGAAUCUCUGCUGCGCUGUGACUGCAGCAUGUUUUUUGUUCUGGAGUGGAAGCUGCCUCAGCCUCCACAAGAUAAGGAGAGAAGCACAAACACUCUUCCCCCAGUCUCAUCCACAUGACUACAGCACUAACCUGUGGUGGCAACUAAUGAACAGGACUGCUCAUGAGGUGAACGAGGUGAACCCCUAUGUGUGUGCACAGCUGCCCUACGCCACACACAACUGAGGCCUUUGAUCAGGAGCUGCCGCUAAAGGACUUUUUGGAGCUAUGAACUGUUCACUUGCUGCUGAUGUUCUUCCAUUUCCACAAACUGUGAUGAAAAUACCAGAGACCAUUUCCUUGGCAGGAGCCAAACCAGGAUCUCUCAGGAGCUGCAUUUAUAACAAUGGACCUACAACACUAGGAAUGCUCCCAUGGAACCUGUGUAACACAGUUUACACCUUCUGCGAGACAACACCGGAAUUCGUCGCCUGCAGAGGUCAGGAGCCAACCUCAGGAUGCAGCAUCUGGAACGACAAUCCAGACUGUCACAAUUUGCUUCAGGAAAGGAGGUUCGACGUUCGACAUCACUCAGCAGACAAGAGGACGACAGGAGACAGCUCGUUGCAGCGCCAUAGUGCCAGGAGACUAUGGUCAACGGGUGAUGGCUGACUGGUACUUCCUGUGCGGACAUGGAACUUACAUGUUUUUGAAAACCGUGUUGUGUUGGCUUUUCUCACAACCUCUCAAGGAAGCGCCUGCAAGAUCAUAGGUUCAACAUGAGAUGAAAGAGGAACUGGUGGAACUAUUCAUGAUGCCCUGCAUGAUUUGGAAGAGCUUAAGAACUAUGUGGACAGUGCAACUCAGGGCUCACAAACUUUUGACUUUCUUUCUUGGCUGACCUCCAGACUCUGGUGGCAGCUUUUGGUUAACAUUGGAACACCCAUCUUGACUGGACUGAUUCUAUUCUGUCUGUUCACAACCUGCCUCAUUUCAUGUUUUCAAAGCAUGCUGUUAAAGACAUUUAACACUGCUCCGCUCAGCUAUCAGUUGGUCAGGGUAACCUCUGACACAGAUGAGGACUACAUGUUGCUCCAGAAGAAAGAAGAUGACUGGAAAAUGAGUACAUGAGGUGAUGUCUUGUAAAUUAAUAAACAGAUUAAAUCAUUUGCUUGAUGACUCCUACACUGAAAAUGUGAAAACAAAUGGUGUUAGUGAUGAUAACUGCACUUGAUUUUCUGCUGUUUGUUUGUUUUUGGGUUGUUGUUUUUUUUCUGUGUUCUUAUUCUUACAUUCAACAUUAUUAUAUUAUUAACACCACAUUAUAUGCAUUUGGUUUUUAAUGUUUCUUUUACAUUUCUUUUUUUUCUAUCCUUCUUAUUUUAUAUAUUAUGCAUUCUACAACUCUUGUAUCACAUGUGUAAUUCAUUCUUUUUCUUUUUAUACUUUUUUUUUUUUGCAUAAUUAUUACGUAAGAAUUAUAAACAGGGGGGAAUGUUAGAAUAAUUAUGUUUUGUUAUAAUUCUUACAUUGGUAGUUAUAAUAGAUUUAGUAUUCACAUCCCUGAGAAAAGCUCUCAUACUUGUUAGACUUUGGAGCUGCAGCUGUGUACAGACCUUGAAGCUGCAGCCACUUGUAUUUUCGGGAUACUCCUAUCUGCCUCCCUCCACAUUCCUUUUCUACUAUCUACUUUGUAAUAAAAGAGAAAGCCCUAACAAAGGAUCUUCAGAGCGCUCGGUGAACGGCUGGAAGCAGCGGUUUGCUGGGUUCUCCCCUUUUGCAAAAGCUUUCAUAAAAUUCA